CUCAGAGUUCUGAUUGGUGGCAGUGUAUCAGAUCUAAGCUGGUAAUUAAGCUUAGAGGAUUUCAUGCUAGUACCUCAGGUUUGGACUCUAAGGUUAAGAUUUGGGAAAGAAUGCUAUGACAGGGCUAGAUUACAGUUUAUG
Chelonoidis abingdonii (Abingdon island giant tortoise) is the source of this 141-nucleotide non-coding RNA. The record is from RefSeq and is a predicted model, not a curated record. Lineage: Eukaryota; Metazoa; Chordata; Testudines; Testudinidae.